Molecule: ribosomal RNA, 429 nt
Filed under: Chloroflexota bacterium
Lineage: Bacteria; Bacillati; Chloroflexota
Description: Chloroflexi bacterium partial 16S ribosomal RNA
Rfam family: Bacterial small subunit ribosomal RNA
Source: RNAcentral
UGGGGAAUAUUGCACAAUGGGCGCAAGCCUGAUGCAGCCAUGCCGCGUGUAUGAAGAAGGCCUUCGGGUUGUAAAGUACUUUCAGCGGGGAGGAAGGGAGUAAAGUUAAUACCUUUACUCAUUGACGUUACCCGCAGAAGAAGCACCGGCUAACUCCGUGCCAGCAGCCGCGGUAAUACGGAGGGUGCAAGCAUUAAUCGGAAUUACUGGGCGUAAAGCGCACGCAGGCGGUUUGUUAAGUCAGAUGUGAAAUCCCCGGGCUCAACCUGGGAACUGCAUCUGAUACUGACAAGCUUGAGUCUCGUAGAGGGGGGUAGAAUUCCAGGUGUAGCGGUGAAAUGCGUAGAGAUCUGGAGGAAUACCGGUGGCGAAGGCGGCCCCCUGGACGAAGACUGACGCUCAGGUGCGAAAGCGUGGGGAGCAAACAGG